GCAGCUUUAGCUCACUUGGGAGAGCGCCAGACUGAAGUCCCACUUCAGUUCUUCGAUCUGCGAGCUCCGGCUCGCAGCAUCAGCCACUGUGCGGUAUCUGGAGGUACUGUGUUCGAUCCACAGAAGCUGCA
Molecule: non-coding RNA, 131 nt
Organism: Phyllosticta citrichinensis
Lineage: Eukaryota; Fungi; Ascomycota; Dothideomycetes; Botryosphaeriales; Phyllostictaceae
Source: the annotation of a GenBank genome assembly